UACGUAGGGUGCAAGCGUUGUCCGGAAUUAUUGGGCGUAAAGCGCACGUAGGCGGCUUUGUAAGUUAGAGGUGAAAGCCCGGGGCUCAACUCCGAGCCUGCUUCCGAUACGGGCAGACUAGAGGUAGGCAGGGGAGAGCGGAACUCCUGGUGUAGCGGUGGAAUGCGCAGAUAUCAGGAAGAACACCGGUGGCGAAGGCGGUUCUCUGGGCAUUACCUGACGCUGAGGAGCGAAAGCAUGGGGAGCGAACAGG
This 253-nucleotide ribosomal RNA is filed under the name uncultured bacterium. RNAcentral's name for it is "partial 16S ribosomal RNA". It matches the Rfam family "Bacterial small subunit ribosomal RNA", at positions 524 to 776 of the family's 1533-position model. The record is from RNAcentral.